RNAcentral lists this small nuclear RNA (107 nucleotides) under Physeter macrocephalus (sperm whale). The record is from RNAcentral. Lineage: Eukaryota; Metazoa; Chordata; Mammalia; Artiodactyla; Physeteridae.
AUGCUGGCUUCGUCAGCACAUAUACUAAAAUUGGAAAGAUACAGAGAACAUUAGCAUGGCCCCUGCACAAGGAUGACACGCAAAUUCGUGAAGCGUUCCAUGUUUUU